UCUCCGUAGGUGAACCUGCGGAGGGAUCAUUACAGAGUUCAUGCCCUACCGGGUAGAUCUCCCACCCUAUGUUAUUAUUACUUUGUUGCUUUGGCGGGCCGUUAGGCUCCGGCCCGACUACCGACCCCAGCUGGUAAGCGCCCGCCAGAGGACCCAAAACCCUGAAUAUUAGUAUCGUCUGAGUACUAUAUAAUAGUUAAAACUUUCAACAACGGAUCUCUUGGUUCUG
RNAcentral lists this unclassified non-coding RNA (229 nucleotides) under plant metagenome. Its description in RNAcentral is "partial contains small subunit ribosomal RNA, internal transcribed spacer 1, and 5.8S ribosomal RNA". The record is from RNAcentral.